This 420-nucleotide ribosomal RNA is filed under the name bacterium. RNAcentral's name for it is "partial 16S ribosomal RNA". It matches the Rfam family "Bacterial small subunit ribosomal RNA", at positions 355 to 776 of the family's 1533-position model. The record is from RNAcentral.
UGGGGGAUAUUGCACAAUGGGCGAAAGCCUGAUGCAGCGACGCCGCGUGGGGGAUGAAGGCUUUCGGUUUGUAAACCUCUUUCGCUAUCGAACAAGGCCCGCUUAGGGUGGGUUGAGGGUAGGUGGAGAAGAAGCGCCGGCUAACUACGUGCCAGCAGCCGCGGUAAUACGUAGGGCGCGAGCGUUUUCCGGAAUUAUUUGGCGUAAAGGGCUUGUAGGCGGCUUGUUGCGCCUGCUGUGAAAACGCGGGGCUUAACUUCGCGCGUGCAGUGGGUACGGGCAGGCUUGAGUGUGGUAGGGGUGACUGGAAUUCCAGGUGUAGCGGUGGAAUGCGCAGAUAUCUGGAGGAACACCGAUGGCGAAGGCAGGUCACUGGGCCAUUACUGACGCUGAGGAGCGAAAGCAUGGGUAGAGAACAGG